AAGUCUUAGUCCGUAGGUGAACCUGCGGAUUGAUCAUUAACACGUAUCCAAGGUUAAACCCCCGUGAACCUUAACCCUGCUUUUAUGACGUUCGGAGAAAAGCUUAGGAAACGCCCUGGUAACUCACAUGUUUGUCAUGACUUCGAAGAACGCAGUGUGGAGAGAUGCGGGUCGCAGGCUUCGUUGCCCCGGUGUCAGGAUAUCUGCAGUUGAUAUCUAAAAGUGUCAUUUUUAUGAUUCGCUAGAUGAGGAGCCCCUUAUCUCACAUGUUUGUUAUGACUCUGGGCUUCCUCGCGACCGAUCAGACCGUUUUGGCCACAUUCCAAAAAUUUUCGGGAAGUCUAGGCUGUAAUGCCCUGGUGCAGAGGAACUGUUAACAAUGGAUAUCUUGGUCUC
RNAcentral lists this unclassified non-coding RNA (396 nucleotides) under fungal sp. Its description in RNAcentral is "partial internal transcribed spacer region". Lineage: Eukaryota; Fungi. The record is from RNAcentral.